RNAcentral lists this ribosomal RNA (497 nucleotides) under uncultured bacterium. Its description in RNAcentral is "partial 16S ribosomal RNA". It matches the Rfam family "Bacterial small subunit ribosomal RNA", at positions 28 to 507 of the family's 1533-position model. The record is from RNAcentral.
GAUGAACGCUGGCGGCGUGCCUAAUACAUGCAAGUCGAGCGAACAGACGAGGCGCUUGCUCCUCUGACGUUAGCGGCGGACGGGUGAGUAACACGUGGAUAACCUACCUAUAAGACUGGGAUAACUUCGGGAAACCGGCGCUAAUACCGGAUAAUAUAUUGAACCGCAUGGUUCAAUAGUGAAAGACGGUUUUGCUGUCACUUAUAGAUGGAUCCGCGCCGCAUUAGCUAGUUGUUAAGGUAACAGCUUACCAAGGCAACGAGGCGUAGCCGACCGGAGAGGGUGGUCGGCGGCCCUGGAGCGGGACCAGGGUCAAUACGCCUACGGGAGGCAGCAGUAGGGAAGCUUCCGCAAUGGGCGAGAGCCUGACGGAGCAAGGCGGCGUGAGAGAUAAAGGUCUUGGGUGCGUAAAACUGUCUUAUGAGGGAAAAACAAAUUUGUAAGUAACUAUGGACUGCUUGACGGUACCUAGUAAGAAAGCAACGGCUAACUACGUG